CACGCUGUAAACUAUGGAUACUAGGCGUUGGAGGAAUUGAUCCCUUCAGUGCCGACGCUAACGCAUUAAGUAUCCCGCCUGGGGAGUACGGCCGCAAGGUUAAAACUCAAAGGAAUAGACGGGGGCCCGCACAAGCGGUGGAGCAUGUGGUUUAAUUCGACGCAACGCGAGAAACCUUACCUGGGUUUGACAUCCGGAGAACCCGCCAGAGAUGGUGGGGUGCCGUAAGGAACUCCGAGACAGGUGC
Molecule: ribosomal RNA, 247 nt
Filed under: uncultured bacterium
Lineage: Bacteria
Description: partial 16S ribosomal RNA
Rfam family: Bacterial small subunit ribosomal RNA
Source: RNAcentral